This is a non-coding RNA of Maylandia zebra (zebra mbuna), 392 nucleotides long. The record is from RefSeq and is a predicted model, not a curated record. Lineage: Eukaryota; Metazoa; Chordata; Actinopteri; Cichliformes; Cichlidae.
CACGGACUCUUUAGGGCGCUGCACACUCGCUCUCUCAGCACAUUCGCGCUCAGAAAGAAGCGCGAAUCGUUAAAGCAGACUAACGUGGAAACAGGUGAAGAGACGAAGACAUCAGCAGGAGGGAGGACGAUCCCCCAGUGUGAGGACGACCCCCACCACAUGAAUGGGGGACAGGAGGCGCAGCUUCCAGCCCAGCUGGUAGGAAAGUCCUCCUCAACUUCUCUGUAACUAUGGACUCUGCCUGUUGCCAUGCGUGCAGGCGUUUCGGUCCACAGUGAUGUCAGUCAGUGCUUUUUAAAGAUGUGCAGGGUGUGAAAUCUCCUGUUUGAUUGUUAAAUGUUCGUUCACUUUGUUUGUGCUCCAAAUAAAUUCACUUCAUAGAUGAAACAGUU